UCCAGACUCCUACGGGAGGCAGCAGUGGGGAAUAUUGGGCAAUGGGCGCAAGCCUGACCCAGCAACGCCGCGUGAAGGAAGAAGGCCCUCGGGUUGUAAACUUCUUUUAUCAGGGACGAAACAAAUGACGGUACCUGAUGAAUAAGCCACGGCUAACUACGUGCCAGCAGCCGCGGUCAUACGUAGGAUCCGAGCAUUAUCCGGAGUGACUGGGUGUAAAGAGUUGCGUAGGUGGCAUAAUAAGUAGCUAGUGAAAUCUGGUGGCUCAACCAUUCAGACUAUUAGCUAAACUGUUAAGCUCGAGACCGUUAGGGGUAACUGGAAUUUCUAGUGUAGGAGUGAAAUCCGUAGAUAUUAGAAGGAACACCAAUAGCGUAGGCAGGUUGCUGGGACGGUUCUGACACUAAGGCACGAAAGCGUAGGGAGCAAACGGGAUUAGAUACCCCUGUA
This 450-nucleotide ribosomal RNA is filed under the name uncultured bacterium. Its description in RNAcentral is "partial 16S ribosomal RNA". It matches the Rfam family "Bacterial small subunit ribosomal RNA", at positions 330 to 792 of the family's 1533-position model. The record is from RNAcentral.